CUAGUUGGGGGGUAAGACCCCCCAAGCGACGAUCGUAGCUGUCUGAAAGACGGUCAGCCCCCCUGGACUGAGACCGGCCCAGCUCAUCCGGAGGCAGCAGUGGGAAUUUUCCGCAAUGGCGAAAGCCUGCCGAGCAAGACCCCUGGGGGAAGAAGGCUCUUGGGUUGAAACUCCUUUUCUCUGGGAAGAACAAAAUGACGGUACCAGAGGAAUCAGCAUCGGCUAACUCGUGCCAGCAGCCGCGGUAAGACGGAGGAUGCAAGCGUUAUCCGGAAUGAUUGGGCGUAAAGCGUCCGCAGGUGGCAGCUCAAGUCUGCUGUCAAAGACCGGGGCUCAACCUCGGAAAGGCAGUGGAAACUGAACAGCUAGAGUAUGGUAGGGGCAAAGGGAAUUCCUGGUGUAGCGGUGAAAUGCGUAGAGAUCAGGAAGAACAUCGGUGGCGAAGGCGCUUUGCUGGACCAUAACUGACACUCAGGGACGAAAGCUAGGGGAGCGAAUGGGAUUAGAUACCCCAGUAGUCCUAGCCGUAAACGAUGGAUACUAGGUGUUGUCUGUAUCGACCCGGACAGUGCCGUAGCUAACGCGUUAAGUAUCCCGCCUGGGGAGUACGCACGCAAGUGUGAAACUCAAAGGAAUUGACGGGGGCCCGCACAAGCGGUGGAGUAUGUGGUUUAAUUCGAUGCAACGCGAAGAACCUUACCAGGACUUGACAUGUCGCGAAUCCUUUUGAAAGAAAGGAGUGCCUUAGGGAGCGCGAACACAGGUGGUGCAUGGCUGUCGUCAGCUCGUGUC
Molecule: unclassified non-coding RNA, 792 nt
Filed under: uncultured cyanobacterium
Lineage: Bacteria; Bacillati; Cyanobacteriota
Description: bacterial SSU rRNA
Rfam family: Bacterial small subunit ribosomal RNA
Source: RNAcentral